Molecule: ribosomal RNA, 253 nt
Filed under: uncultured bacterium
Lineage: Bacteria
Description: partial 16S ribosomal RNA
Rfam family: Bacterial small subunit ribosomal RNA
Source: RNAcentral
UACGUAGGGGGCUAGCGUUGUCCGGAAUCAUUGGGCGUAAAGCGCGCGUAGGCGGCCAGAUAAGUCCGGUGUGAAAGUCACAGGCUCAACCUGUGAAUGCCGCUGGAAACUGUCUGGCUAGAGUCCGGAAGGGGCGAGUGGAAUUCCUGGUGUAGCGGUGAAAUGCGCAGAUAUCAGGAGGAACACCGAUGGCGAAGGCAGGUCUCUGGGCCACUACUGACGCUGAGAAGCGAAAGCAUGGGGAGCGAACAGG